CCUCGCAUCCUGAAACGUGUUGAAUUCUAAUAUGUCCUAAAUGACCUAUGCAAGUAGUUGGGCAAUUACAUGGUAGAAGCUUUAGCUAAUCUUGAAAAUCUGGAGAAUUCAUCUUGUAGAAGAGUUUGUGGGUUCCCUUGCUCAAUCACAUUCCCAUGGUCAAGAACAAGGAUGUUGUCCAUAUUCAUAACAGUGGAAAUUCGAUGAGCAAUUGUGAUCACCGUCAUGCCUUUGCAUUCAGUAGAUAUUGCAUUCUGUAGU
This 261-nucleotide unclassified non-coding RNA is filed under the name Hevea brasiliensis (rubber tree). The record is from RNAcentral. Lineage: Eukaryota; Viridiplantae; Streptophyta; Magnoliopsida; Malpighiales; Euphorbiaceae.